RNAcentral lists this ribosomal RNA (427 nucleotides) under uncultured bacterium. Its description in RNAcentral is "bacterial SSU rRNA". It matches the Rfam family "Bacterial small subunit ribosomal RNA", at positions 355 to 774 of the family's 1533-position model. The record is from RNAcentral.
UAGGGAAUAUUGGUCAAUGGGGGCAACCCUGAUCCAGCCAUGCCGCGUGAGUGAAGAAGGCCCUCGGGUUGUAAAGCUCUUUUGUCCGGAAAGAAAAGCAUUCGGUGAAUACCCGGAUGUUCUGACGGUACCGGAAGAAUAAGCACCGGCUAACUUCGUGCCAGCAGCCGCGGUAAUACGAAGGGUGCAAGCGUUACUCGGAAUUACUGGGCGUAAAGCGUGCGUAGGUGGUUGUUUAAGUCUGAUGUGAAAGCCCUGGGCUCAACCUGGGAAUGGCAUUGGAAACUGGGCAGCUAGAGUGCGGUAGAGGGUAGUGGAAUUCCCGGUGUAGCAGUGAAAUGCGUAGAGAUCGGGAGGAACAUCUGUGGCGAAGGCGACUGCCUGGACCAGCACUGACACUGAGGCACGAAAGCGUGGGGAGCAAACA